This 263-nucleotide long non-coding RNA is filed under the name Numida meleagris (helmeted guineafowl). Its description in RNAcentral is "lncRNA (ENSNMEG00000019124.1)". The record is from RNAcentral. Lineage: Eukaryota; Metazoa; Chordata; Aves; Galliformes; Numididae.
UGGUGAAGGAGAAGGGAUUUAUUUGAAAAGGAUUCUUAGUCUGCUGAGGAGUCAAUUCUGAAUCACACAGGAGGCUGACAGGCAGGGUGUAAAUUCCUGGUCCACCUCACAAAUGGAUAAGAUACCACUGAUCCCCCAACACCCAGUGUUCCACUCACUGAAGUGACCUCCAUUGGCUUCUGUUUUCAAAGUAAAACAAGUAUGGAUAUUCUGCAGUGAUGAAUCCAUAAAAUCCAAUUUUGUCCCUAUUGGUACUUAUUUUG